UUGUGAUACCCUAAUAGCUUCAGAUCAGAUGAAAAUAGAGUUGUGAUUUGAAAUAUAAGAAUCAGAGAUCCUAAUAAUAAUAAUUGAAUUUAAGCAUAUUGGAUUAGAGGUUUGGACCCAAUGAGUUAAUAUAUUGUUAGUGGGUCGAAUAGUUAUAUUAAGUAUCAGAGUCGGUUCACCAGCCAGAAUUGUAAGGCGGUCCUUACAUCCUCUGGUGAUUAUAAAUUUAAAGUGUGAGAUAGGUCUCACAUCCUCUGGUGAUAGUGAACUUAAAGUGUGAGGCGGGUCUCACAUCUCUUCUCCUCUAAUAAUUUAAAAUGUAUAAAUACAGAUCUCACAUCCUCUAGUGAUGGUGAUCUUAAUUGCAUAUGAGAAUGAUCUUAAAACUAAGAAUGAUCUUAUAUCCUCCAAUGAUGUGAUUGAUCUUAAAUGUGUGCUCAAAGUGUAAGACAGGUCUCACAUCUUCUGGUGAGGUGGAUCUCACAUCCUCUUGGGCUGGUGGUUGGGCAAGAGGUCCUCUUAGAUAAGUAGUUUGGCGCUUGGACUAGUGAUUUGAAUCCAACCAAUUAUUAUUGUUAAGCAUGAAACGAGACUCAUAUUUUAUGAUAAUCUUGAUAAUAAUAAUUGAGCUGAAGUAUUUUGAACCGGUGGUUCGAGCUGAACGAGUUAUUACUUCUAAUGGGUUGUUACAGAUAUAGACUUGAAUUUUGUUUUUCCGUAGGUAAUAAAG
This 730-nucleotide long non-coding RNA is filed under the name Ananas comosus (pineapple). Its description in RNAcentral is "long non-coding RNA (ACOM_LNC029722)". The record is from RNAcentral. Lineage: Eukaryota; Viridiplantae; Streptophyta; Magnoliopsida; Poales; Bromeliaceae.